RNAcentral lists this microRNA precursor (96 nucleotides) under Nicotiana sylvestris (wood tobacco). RNAcentral's name for it is "MIR6152 microRNA precursor family". It matches the Rfam family "MIR6152 microRNA precursor family". Lineage: Eukaryota; Viridiplantae; Streptophyta; Magnoliopsida; Solanales; Solanaceae. The record is from Rfam by way of RNAcentral.
UGGACAGAUUAUUGUAUUCGACUGUAUUCACGGCGUGAAACAUGGGAUUACACUGUUUUUAAACGGAAAGUGAAUCAAUUAACAUAAUAGACUCGU